GUGAGGUCAAAGAAGGUCUCUUUGAAGUCAGAGGGGGGGUCUCUCCAAGGUCAAGAGAGGUGUCUGAGGACAGGGAGGUCUCUGUGAGGUCAGAGAAGUCUCUGUUAAGGACAGAAGGUCUCUGUGAGCUCAGGAGAGGUCUUUGAGGACAGGGUGGUCUCUGUGAGGUCAGGAUAAGUCUCUCUGAGUUCAGAGGGCAUCUCUUAGGUGAGGGGAGGUCUCUGUGAGGUCAGAAGGUACCUCUCCCUACCACCGCCAAGACAAUCAACCUCCCUUUGAGUCAGGGCAUGGACAGCAAGGACCCGGAUGAAGCGAGCACUACCUCCCAUGUCAGAUGGUGGGUAUGGAGAACACAUUAGCAGCAAAGAUCAAGUGUCCAGCUGUUGUCAACUUGGAGAAUUCUGUGGUUGAAAUGGAGACCCUUCAAGCUCUCUAUGAGACGAUAAACCAGCGAUCUCCACUGAGCUCCUUGGAAGAUGGAAGUUAAAAUGAUUAACACUGCUGCAUUGGAAAUUAAUGACAUGAGAUUGUUCUUACACGUUUUUCACCGUAUUUUACAUAUGAGAUUUCAGUUUGAUUUGUGAUAUCCAAAAAGUGGACUUACUGGAGAACACUUAACAUUUUUGUGUCCACUAUUGGCUUGUAGAGCUUAUGGCUCUUUACUGUUGCAGGGAGGGUCUCUGAGCACUUCUCUCUACCAUUUGUUUUUAGUUUUGCAUGGUCUGGCCAUAUAUACUUUCGUUGGGCAGCUAAAGUAUGCAUAAAAUUUUGUGAGAAUUAUUUUAUAAUUAAAUUAUUAAGAACUUAAUUAAAUAUAACUAAAAUUAUUAUAUAAGAAUUCAAUGCUAACAUUAGGUGAAAUAAGAGUUUAACACAGAAAAUAAGGUACUUUAAGUCCCCUCUCCUAAAAAGGGGGGGUAAAUCACAAAGGCUUUGGUGUUUUCAGAGAAGAUAUGGCAUCCAUUUGUAGCUAGGAGCAUAAACAUUGCUUGAAUGUGUGAAAAUUAGUAAAAGGAAACCUCAUUUAAAUGGAAGUGGGAGGCAAGAAAGGGGGAGCCCUCCCACACUACCACUCACUGUCAGUUACAGACCCCAACAGGAAGAAUCCUCAGCUAUGGAUCGCAACAGGAAGAAACACACAUUGCAAGUAGACACUACUUUAUACUCCAGCAGGAGGAAGGAAGAUUUCCUUCCUUGCCCAGCAACUCAGCCAAGAAGAAAUCGUCACCACGCUGUACUCCUGCUUUCCUGCAGUGGACUUUCAUUCAAAAAAACCCCCUCCUUUUUUUCUAUAAAGUAACGUU
RNAcentral lists this long non-coding RNA (1304 nucleotides) under Equus caballus (horse). RNAcentral's name for it is "lncRNA (ENSECAG00000032842.3)". Lineage: Eukaryota; Metazoa; Chordata; Mammalia; Perissodactyla; Equidae. The record is from RNAcentral.